GGAUGUGAGGGCGAUCUGGCUGCGACAUCUAUCACUCCAUUGAUCGCCAGGGUUGAUUAGGCUGAUCUGGCUGGCUAGGCAGGUGUCCCCUUCCUCUCACCACUCCAUGUGCGUCCCUCCCAAAGAUCAUCCCCAUAAAGGAGGACCGUUCUUCUGUCAAGGGUAUGUGAGUAGCUGCGCUCCCCUGCUAGAACCUCCAAACAAGCUCUCAAAAAGAGUGCUGUUGUAUGCACUAAUGAAACCAACUUUGAAUAAAACCUUUAUGGAGCAGUUAACUAGCCCUAGAAA
Molecule: small nuclear RNA, 288 nt
Filed under: Castor canadensis (American beaver)
Lineage: Eukaryota; Metazoa; Chordata; Mammalia; Rodentia; Castoridae
Description: 7SK RNA (ENSCCNG00000001764.1)
Rfam family: 7SK RNA
About the family: 7SK was discovered as an abundant small nuclear RNA in the mid-70s but a possible function has only recently been suggested. Two independent studies have found that 7SK RNA binds the CDK9/cyclin T complex (known as elongation factor P-TEFb).
Source: Rfam by way of RNAcentral